Molecule: ribosomal RNA, 734 nt
Filed under: uncultured bacterium
Lineage: Bacteria
Description: bacterial SSU rRNA
Rfam family: Bacterial small subunit ribosomal RNA
Source: RNAcentral
AUGACGUUGGGAGAGCGAGCGGCGGAUGGGUGAGUAACCCGUGGGGAACCUGCCCCUAAGUCUGGGAUACCAUUUGGAAACAGGUGCUAAUACCGGAUAAUAAAGCAGAUCGCAUGAUCAGCUUUUGAAAGGCGGCGUAAGCUGUCGCUAAGGGAUGGCCCCGCGGUGCAUUAGCUAGUUGGUAAGGUAACGGCUUACCAAGGCGACGAUGCAUAGCCGAGUUGAGAGACUGAUCGGCCACAUUGGGACUGAGACACGGCCCAAACUCCUACGGGAGGCAGCAGUAGGGAAUCUUCCACAAUGGACGCAAGUCUGAUGGAGCAACGCCGCGUGAGUGAAGAAGGUUUUCGGAUCGUAAAGCUCUGUUGUUGGUGAAGAAGGAUAGAGGUAGUAACUGGCCUUUAUUUGACGGUAAUCAACCAGAAAGUCACGGCUAACUACGUGCCAGCAGCCGCGAUAAUACGUAGGUGGCAAGCGUUGUCCGGAUUUAUUGGGCGUAAAGCGAGCGCAGGCGGAAAAAUAAGUCUAAUGUGAAAGCCCUCGGCUUAACCGAGGAACUGCAUCGGAAACUGUUUUUCUUGAGUGCAGAAGAGGAGAGUGGAACUCCAUGUGUAGCGGUGGAAUGCGUAGAUAUAUGGAAGAACACCAGUGGCGAAGGCGGCUCUCUGGUCUGCAACUGACGCUGAGGCUCGAAAGCAUGGGUAGCGAACAGGAUUAGAUACCCUGGUAGUCCA